RNAcentral lists this transfer RNA (72 nucleotides) under Diaphorina citri (Asian citrus psyllid). It matches the Rfam family "tRNA". Rfam says of the family: Transfer RNA (tRNA) molecules are approximately 80 nucleotides in length. Their secondary structure includes four short double-helical elements and three loops (D, anti-codon, and T loops). Lineage: Eukaryota; Metazoa; Arthropoda; Insecta; Hemiptera; Psyllidae. The record is from Rfam by way of RNAcentral.
GCUCCCAUGGCGUAGUGGUCACUGCACUCGCCUUGCACGCGGGAGACCCGGGUUCGAAUCCCGGCGGGGUCA